CCUACGGGAGGCAGCAGUGGGGAAUCUUCGGCAAUGGGGGAAACCCUGACCGAGCGACGCCGCGUGCGGGAUGAAGGCCCUCGGGUUGUAAACCGCUGUCGUAAGGGAACAAAUCUAUGAGGGUACUCUCUCAUAGUUGAGUGAUCUUAGGAGGAAGGACGGGCUAAGUUCGUGCCAGCAGCCGCGGUAAGACGAACCGUCCGAACGUUAUUCGGUAUCACUGGGCUUAAAGAGUUCGUAGGCGGCCCGACAGGUGAGGUGUGAAAUCCCUCGGCUCAACCGAGGAAUUGCGCUUCAAACCGUCAGGCUUGAGGGAGAUAGAGGUGAGCGGAACAGAUGGUGGAGCGGUGAAAUGCGUUGAUAUCAUCUGGAACACCGGUGGCGAAAGCGGCUCACUGGAUCUUUUCUGACGCUGAGGAACGAAAGCUAGGGUAGCGAACGGGCUUAGAUACCCCGGUAGUC
Molecule: ribosomal RNA, 462 nt
Filed under: uncultured Pirellula sp.
Lineage: Bacteria; Pseudomonadati; Planctomycetota; Planctomycetia; Pirellulales; Pirellulaceae
Description: bacterial SSU rRNA
Rfam family: Bacterial small subunit ribosomal RNA
Source: RNAcentral